AAUUCUCAACUUCAAAAAGAUUUUUGUCUUUUUUGAAGCUUGGACUAUGGGAGUUUGCUGGUGUCACUAUCAGCUCUUCUCAAAUGCAUUAGCGGAACUCUAAAAGGACCGGCUUUGGUUUGAUAAUUAUAUCUAUGCCGCUGCUGUGGACUUGUUCAGCUUCUAAUGGUCUUCGGACUGUCUCCUUGUUGAGGCAUACACAUUUUUAA
This 209-nucleotide unclassified non-coding RNA is filed under the name uncultured Agaricomycetes. Its description in RNAcentral is "sequence contains ITS2". The record is from RNAcentral. RNAcentral also lists the same sequence under 1 other name. Lineage: Eukaryota; Fungi; Basidiomycota; Agaricomycetes.